CCGUCGCUCUUUACUACGGCCAGUCGAGCGUACUUUUUCACAUCGGAGAAUUACGCGGAGUUACGUGUCAUCUCAUGUUGUUUCCCAUUACGUCGUGCCUUCGGAAAGCAUCGUCUGUAAGUUCCAUGCCUGUCUAAUGUCUGUCAUAAAGACGCGCGUGUGUGAUUGUAAGAAUACUGUAUUGUCAUGUUAGCUUGCGCUCUCUGUUUAACUUACCGGAAAUUAGCUCGUAUCGCCGGUACUUGCCGGCUCGUUUAAGGAGGAAUGUGGUUUUUAUGCUUCUCCCCUUCGGUGCUGGUAGACCUGUGUUGUGUUUGCACUGUUUAAAAUGCCAUGUGUAGAUCGAGUUUAUGUGCAAUUUGUAAUUCUGCAUUAUUUACAUAGGCUUGUCUGUUUGUUUACAUGCUGUUAUGUGGACUAUCUCUGUGUGUGUGUGGAAUGAUGACAUGUAACAUUAUGUAACAUAAUCCAUUCACAAUGUUUAUUUUGACAUUACUGUUUCUGUUAUAUUUUAUACAGUUUUACAAGAAAAAAGAAAAAAGAAAAAGGAGAAAAGAAGUAAAGGUGUUAAGUGGAUUUUCUGAAUACAACUAAAGAUUCUCAAAGUUAACACUGGACUCUGUCGUUCUUGGACUUGUUAGCUAUCUGUCAGCUUGUCUACGUCACAACACAGGCACGUGUGACAGAAUAUGCAAUGAAUAUAGAAAGUUAUGUACAAACACCCCUGAGCCCCCCAUUUCUUUUUAGCAGUCUUUUAUAACCAGCACUUUUAUUGCAGUGAUUAAAACCCCCCCAGGGCCACCUGCUGGAUCAAGGGACCAACUUCGUUGGUGCCAGGCCAGUGUUGAAGGAACUUUCCGAGUUCCCAAGCAACAUUGACAAGGAUCAAGACCUAUUGAGUGGUUGGUUCUUCUGAUGAAUGUUCUACGUACUCUCCUCUGACAGCCUUGCGGAUUAAGCUCCCGAAGCAAAGUCAUAACAUCAUCUCUCUUUACUUGUAGACCGUACUUCUGUUUAAGUACCUGCCACAUUGUGCGGUAACCAAACAGUUGUCCAGGUCCACAAAGUUCCAGUGUGAUUGCAUUGAUGACAGUGUUUGCAGAUGAAAAAAACUUUCUGCUUCAUUGAGCUUACUUUUCAGAGUUCUCGCCAUGUAAACAUGACAUCAUGUCUCUAAUAACGUCAUACGAGUGGCCCUCCAUGAAAUCGGAAAUGCAAUGCUGCAGCAUAUCCGAUCCUUCCACCUGGUUGACGUCUUCCAUAAAAGCCAAAGACCGUCCACAUGAACAACAAAAUGGCGUUAAACGGUAAAUGUUUUUGCCACAAAAGGGACAAAACCUCACUCGAUCACAAGCAUCCAUUCUCACGAGACAGAAGUCACAAACUGACCACUCACAGUAUAAUUUCCGGGUCACUUGCCGAUAGGGACAUUCCCUAUCUGUAAGGACUGUGGCUUUUGUAAAUGUGUUUCGGUAUUUGUAAAAGUGUUUUGCAUUUUGUAAAUUUGUUUUGAAAAUGUAAAUUUGUUUUAACUUUUGUCAAUUUGUUUCUGUAUUUGUAAAUUUGUUUCAAGUUUUGUAAUACUGGUUUGCACUUCCAGGCCACCGUAGAUCAAGGCACAAACUCUUGGGGCAAGAUCUUGAGUUGGCCCCAGACACUUGUAGGCCAUCGCUUCAGGAAAGUCACUACUAAGUCUUCUGGAGAGUCCGGGUUGAACACCUCCACAAACUUGGUCACAAACAUCUACUCAAACAAUCUCUUUUUGUUAGUGUUUACUACACGAUUCUCGCGUCUUCUCUCUCCGUGAUCUCUCUCUCUCGGUCGGUCCCUCGCUCUUCUCUCUCCCUCUCAAACACAAAUAUCUCUAUUAACCCCAUAAAUGCAUACAUACUGUUUUCACAGAUACAUUAGCUUUAAAAAAAAAAAACAAUAAACAUGUAAUAUAUAUUUUUAAACUGAUUUUGUUACACAUGUGGAAUGGAAAAAAGGGGAGUCUCCAGUGUGAAGGUAUUGAAGGAUAAUUUAAAUUCUGUAAACACAUUAUUUUGCAUGAACAGAUUGGUUUUGUGAGAACAUGGUUCCACAAUCUUUCCCUUCAAAUUCCACUUAUGCUGAACCAACUGAGAUUCCUAACAAGAGUACAAAUCUCUCACAUUCUGUUUGUUUAUGUUCAAACGGCACAGGUCAGUUCAUGGGAAUCUCACAUUGUUCAAACCCUGUUAUUAGUUUAAACACUAAUCGAGUUAAGUUCAGUCCCAUUAAAAUAACAUUUAGAAAUAAAGAAACUGUGCUAGUUAAUAAAUAUCUUCAUGCUCCUGCACAUAAAGGUAUACCUCCUAUUGGAAAUUUUUAUUGGCCUUGUGGUAAUGAGGCGUUCUUGUUUUUACCACCAAAAUGGUCUGGGUGUUGUUAUUUUGUUAACUUAACUAUUGCUAAUUUAGCAAUACUCCCAAUAACUCUGAAUCAAACCCUAUGCACGUUCAUAAACGAGAGAUGGCACAAUUUUCCACCCUCUCAUCAUAUCAUUGGCGUAUUUCAUUGGGAGAAAAAUGGGGUAUCGGAUUAUUGCCUUGGUAUGGUGUUACAUUUCUGGCUGACCAUAUUGACAACAUUACAUAUUCAAUGUCUGGUUUUGCUAAUGAAACUAUAAAAGGCUUCCAAUAUUUAGCGGCAAAUGACAAAUCCCAUAGGUUAACUCUGUUAAAACACGAAAUGGCUCUUGAUUAUAUUUUGGCAAAAACUGGAGGUCUUUGUCUGACUUUAUAUUUAACAGGUGACUCAUGUGUUACAGUAAUCCCUGAUAACUCAGAUAACAUCACUAGUGUGAUUACAGAACUGGAGAAGAUCCGUGACUCAUUUUGUCCCUCUGAAUCAGCAGGUUUUAGUUUCAAUAGAUGGUUAAACGAACAAUUUGGUCCCUGGGGUGCAAUGAUUGUACAUCUGUGUAUCCCUGUGCUAAUUGUGUUUGGUAUAACUUUUUGUUGUUGUACUUGUGCACUCACUUGUAUGCAAGCGUUUGUGUAUAGGUGGAUAGGGGGAGUACUUGGAGGUGACAGAACACCAUUGUAUGUGAAAGUACCUUGUGAACAAAGUAAGGAUCAAAUGUGUGUCACAUUUCAGAAUGGGCCCCAGGUAACCUGUAUAGUGAGAGUGAUUCAGAUGAAGAGAUAAUGUGAAUGGAAUUGUUUUGGUUUGCUUUUUUUUUUCUUGGUGUUUUAUUUCUUCUCUUGUGAUAUUCUGAGAGUGAAUAGUUAACUCAUACUAAUAGGUUUGCAGUGUGUAGUCAUAGAAAAAGUUAGUUAACGAGACCAUGUGAUUUCCCAAAAAAUAUGUUGACACUUUGUGUCAAAAGGGAGGAAAUGUGGGAAAUGACCAGUCUUUCCUCUGUUUCCUGUAGUGGUUAAGAUAACUAUCUACUAACAGUCAAGCUGUGAAUGGAGGCUGGGGAAAGUGUAUGAUAAGGAAGGGUCAAGGUAAGGAAUCCACAUAAUGGUAUCUGUUAGUCGUCGUAAACAUUAUAGGUAACAUCUAAUGGGGUCAUAAACGUUAUUUCUUGUGUCUGUUCUUGUUUUACUUUGAUGUUUCUGUAUAAAUGGUAGAGCUUUCUUGAGAAACGAGAGAGAACAUUUAGACCUUCUUGGUGACAGGGUCUCUCCUUUAUGCAUGAAGUAAAGAUAUGAUUCACUGAA
Molecule: long non-coding RNA, 3689 nt
Organism: Solea solea (common sole)
Lineage: Eukaryota; Metazoa; Chordata; Actinopteri; Pleuronectiformes; Soleidae
Exons: 2
Source: RefSeq, a predicted model, not a curated record